UUUAUUUUUCUUUUCUUGUGUGGCAUGGCUUUAGGAGGAUUAUUUACAUAUCAUUCCUCUAGCAUGUAUUAACACAAAUAUUAUUAUUGACCGGCCUCAGAUAGUUGUGACUUCUACAUAAGUCCAAUUACGAUUGCUUAACAUAGCGCUAAAUUUAUCCCAAAGGCAAUGGCAUUUUUAUAAGUGAGGUUGUAAGUGUCUUGUUCCUCAUGGUAUUGUGUGAAAAUGUUGCUCAUUUUCCAUUUGUGGUAGCUAGU
Molecule: long non-coding RNA, 257 nt
Filed under: Lathyrus oleraceus (garden pea)
Lineage: Eukaryota; Viridiplantae; Streptophyta; Magnoliopsida; Fabales; Fabaceae
Description: Pisum sativum (pea) long non-coding RNA (PSAT_LNC019783)
Source: RNAcentral